GAUGAACGCUGGCGGCGUGCCUAAUACAUGCAAGUCGAACGCAGAAGGAGGAGCUUGCUUCCUCGGAUGAGUUGCGAACGGGUGAGUAACGCGUAGGUAACCUGCAUGGUAGCGGGGGAUAACACUUGGAAAAGAUAGCUAAUACCGCAUAAGAGUAGUUGUCGCAUGACAUUCGCUUAAAAGGUGCAACUGUACCACUACCAGAUGGACCUGCGUGGUAUUAGCUGGUUGGUGAGGAAAUGGCUCACCAAGGCAACGAUCCUUAGCGGCCCUGGUAGGGUGAUCGGCCACACUGGAACUGGGACCGGGCCAAGAUCCCUCCGGGAGGAACAAUAAGGGAACUUCCGGAAAGGGCGGAAAGCCUGCCGGAGCAAGGCGGGGGGGGUGAGGAAGUUUUCCGGUCGGAAAGCCCUGGUUAAAAGGGAAGACGAGAGUGGGAAUUAAAUGUGCACGUUGUGACGGUACCUUACCAGAAAGCGACGGCUAACUACGUG
This 494-nucleotide ribosomal RNA is filed under the name uncultured bacterium. RNAcentral describes it as "partial 16S ribosomal RNA". It matches the Rfam family "Bacterial small subunit ribosomal RNA", at positions 28 to 507 of the family's 1533-position model. The record is from RNAcentral.